This 85-nucleotide transfer RNA is filed under the name bacterium. Its description in RNAcentral is "tRNA-Ser". It matches the Rfam family "tRNA". From Rfam's summary of the family: Transfer RNA (tRNA) molecules are approximately 80 nucleotides in length. The record is from RNAcentral.
GGAGGACUAGACCUAAUUGGUAAGGCAGCGGUCUUGAAAACCGCCGGGCGAAAGCCCUUGGGAGUUCGGAGUCUCCCGUCCUCCG